Molecule: ribosomal RNA, 1032 nt
Filed under: bacterium enrichment culture clone aHCH2_A3
Lineage: Bacteria
Description: bacterial SSU rRNA
Rfam family: Bacterial small subunit ribosomal RNA
Source: RNAcentral
CUACACAUGCAGUCGAACGGAGAAUCAGCAAUGGUUCUUAGUGGCGAACGGGUGAGUAACGCGUAGACAACCUGCCUCAAAGAUGGGGACAACACCGCGAAAGUGGUGCUAAUACCGAAUGUUGCAUUGGAUUCGCAUGAAUCUGAUACUAAAGGUGGCCUCUUUAAAUGCUAUCGCUUUGAGAUGGGUCUGCGUCUGAUUAGCUAGUUGGUGAGGUAACAGCUCACCAAGGCGAUGAUCAGUAGCCGGUCUGAGAGGAUGAACGGCCACACUGGGACUGAGACACGGCCCAGACUCCUACGGGAGGCAGCAGUGGGGAAUCUUCCGCAAUGGACGAAAGUCUGACGGAGCAACGCCGCGUGAGUGAAGAAGGUUUUCGGAUCGUAAAGCUCUGUCUUUGAGGACGAAUGUGCUUAAUGUAAAUAAUGUUAAGUAAUGACGGUACUCGAGGAGGAAGCCACGGCUAACUACGUGCCAGCAGCCGCGGUAAUACGUAGGUGGCAAGCGUUGUCCGGAAUUAUUGGGCGUAAAGCGCGCGCAGGCGGGAUAUUAAGUCUGUCUUAAAAGUUCGGGGCUCAACCCCGUGAUGGGAUGGAAACUAAUAUUCUUGAGUGCAGGAGAGGAAAGUGGAAUUCCCAGUGUAGCGGUGAAAUGCGUAGAUAUUGGGAGGAACACCAGUGGCGAAGGCGACUUUCUGGACUGUGUCUGACGCUGAGGCGCGAAAGCCAGGGGAGUGAACGGGAUUAGAUACCCCGGUAAUCCUGGCCGUAAACGAUGGGUACUAGGUGUAGGAGGUAUCGACCCCUUCUGUGCCGGAGUUAACGCAAUAAGUACCCCGCCUGGGGAGUACGGCCGCAAGGUUGAAACUCAAAGGAAUUGACGGGGGCCCGCACAAGCGGUGGAGUAUGUGGUUUAAUUCGACGCAACGCGAGAACCUUACCAGGACUUGACAUCGAUUGAAAGUUCUAGAGAUAGAACUCUUCUCUUCGGAGACAAGAGACAGGUGGUGCAUGCUGUCGUCAGCUCGUGUCG